GGCUCAGAGCGAACGCUGGCGGCAGGCUUAACACAUGCAAGUCGAGCGGGCGUAGCAAUACGUCAGCGGCAGACGGGUGAGUAACGCGUGGGAACGUACCUUUUGGUUCGGAACAACACAGGGAAACUUGUGCUAAUACCGGAUAAGCCCUUACGGGGAAAGAUUUAUCGCCGAAAGAUCGGCCCGCGUYUGAUUAGCUAGUUGGUAGGGUAACGGCCUACCAAGGCGACGAUCAGUAGCUGGUYUGAGAGGAUGAUCAGCCACAUUGGGACUGAGACACGGCCCAAACUCCUACGGGAGGCAGCAGUGGGGAAUAUUGGACAAUGGGGGCAACCCUGAUCCAGCCAUGCCGCGUGAGUGAUGAAGGCCCUAGGGUUGUAAAGCUCUUUUGUGCGGGAAGAUAAU
This 405-nucleotide ribosomal RNA is filed under the name Bradyrhizobium sp. R-37824. RNAcentral describes it as "bacterial SSU rRNA". It matches the Rfam family "Bacterial small subunit ribosomal RNA", at positions 21 to 452 of the family's 1533-position model. Lineage: Bacteria; Pseudomonadati; Pseudomonadota; Alphaproteobacteria; Hyphomicrobiales; Nitrobacteraceae. The record is from RNAcentral.